GAUCCAGCCAUGCCGCGUGUGUGAAGAAGGCCCUCGGGUUGUAAAGCACUUUCAGCGAGGAAGAACGCCUAGUGGUUAAUACCCAUUAGGAAAGACAUCACUCGCAGAAGAAGCACCGGCUAACUCCGUGCCAGCAGCCGCGGUAAUACGGAGGGUGCAAGCGUUAAUCGGAAUUACUGGGCGUAAAGCGCGCGUAGGUGGCUUGAUAAGCCGGUUGUGAAAGCCCCGGGCUCAACCUGGGAACGGCAUCCGGAACUGUCAAGCUAGAGUGCAGGAGAGGAAGGUAGAAUUCCCGGUGUAGCGGUGAAAUGCGUAGAGAUCGGGAGGAAUACCAGUGGCGAAGGCGGCCUUCUGGACUGACACUGACACUGAGGUGCGAAAGCGUGGGUAGCAAACAGGAUUAGAUACCCUGGUAGUCCACGCCGUAAACGAUGUCGACCAGCCGUUGGGUGCCUAGCGCACUUUGUGGCGAAGUUAACGCGAUAAGUCGACCGCCUGGGGAGUACGGCCGCAAGGUUAAAACUCAAAUGAAUUGACGGGGGCCCGCACAAGCGGUGGAGCAUGUGGUUUAAUUCGAUGCAACGCGAAGAACCUUACCUACUCUUGACAUCCUGCGAACUUGUGAGAGAUCACUUGGUGCCUUCGGGAACGCAGAGACAGGUGCUGCAUGGCUGUCGUCAGCUCGUGUUGUGAAAUGUUGGGUUAAGUCCCGUAACGAGC
This 720-nucleotide ribosomal RNA is filed under the name Halomonas sp. SL2a. RNAcentral describes it as "bacterial SSU rRNA". It matches the Rfam family "Bacterial small subunit ribosomal RNA", at positions 385 to 1097 of the family's 1533-position model. Lineage: Bacteria; Pseudomonadati; Pseudomonadota; Gammaproteobacteria; Oceanospirillales; Halomonadaceae. The record is from RNAcentral.